RNAcentral lists this long non-coding RNA (272 nucleotides) under Musa acuminata (dwarf banana). Its description in RNAcentral is "long non-coding RNA (MACU_LNC001313)". Lineage: Eukaryota; Viridiplantae; Streptophyta; Magnoliopsida; Zingiberales; Musaceae. The record is from RNAcentral.
AACCGUACACGCUUAUGGCAGCCAUCUCUUUCGCACGACAUCAAGAGGAGAAAUUGAACCAUGAAGCUCGAAGGACUAGGGUCACUCCUCAACCAGCAAUAUUGAAGCCCUUAGCCCCCCCUACUGUUGACCGAGUCCCUGCACCAAAAAGGUUGACAAGAGAAGAGCUUCAAGAGCGAUCUGCGAAGGGGUUAUGUUGGCAUUACGACGAGCCGUGGAGCCAUGAGCAUCGCUGUAGUAAAGGGAGACUUUUUAUCAUUGAACCAGUAGAA